RNAcentral lists this ribosomal RNA (465 nucleotides) under Vreelandella stevensii. RNAcentral describes it as "partial 16S ribosomal RNA". It matches the Rfam family "Bacterial small subunit ribosomal RNA", at positions 338 to 795 of the family's 1533-position model. Lineage: Bacteria; Pseudomonadati; Pseudomonadota; Gammaproteobacteria; Oceanospirillales; Halomonadaceae. The record is from RNAcentral.
CCUACGGGUGGCUGCAGUGGGGAAUAUUGGACAAUGGGGGCAACCCUGAUCCAGCCAUGCCGCGUGUGUGAAGAAGGCCCUCGGGUUGUAAAGCACUUUCAGUGAGGAAGAACGCCUGGUGGUUAAUACCCAUCAGGAAAGACAUCACUCACAGAAGAAGCACCGGCUAACUCCGUGCCAGCAGCCGCGAUAAUACGGAGGGUGCGAGCGUUAAUCGGAAUUACUGGGCGUAAAGCGCGCGUAGGUGGCUUGAUAAGCCGGUUGUGAAAGCCCCGGGCUCAACCUGGGAACGGCAUCCGGAACUGUCAAGCUAGAGUGCAGGAGAGGAAGGUAGAAUUCCCGGUGUAGCGGUGAAAUGCGUAGAGAUCGGGAGGAAUACCAGUGGCGAAGGCGGCCUUCUGGACUGACACUGACACUGAGGUGCGAAAGCGUGGGUAGCAAACAGGAUUAGAUACCCUAGUAGUC